AUGUACCUUGUAAGAUGUCUGUUUAACAGUACAACAGCUACCCUGGUUUUAGGACAUAGAAUGAGUUGCUGUGUAAGCACCACUCACUUUCCAAAUUUCAAACAUGGUCUUUGGGGUACAUAAAUGGAGAUCUUCGUAACAUU
Nanorana parkeri is the source of this 143-nucleotide long non-coding RNA. RefSeq lists it as uncharacterized. The transcript is spliced from 4 exons. Lineage: Eukaryota; Metazoa; Chordata; Amphibia; Anura; Dicroglossidae. The record is from RefSeq and is a predicted model, not a curated record.